GAUGAACGCUGGCGGCGUGCCUAAUACAUGCAAGUCGAGCGAACAGACGAGGAGCUUGCUCCUCUGACGUUAGCGGCGGACGGGUGAGUAACACGUGGAUAACCUACCUAUAAGACUGGGAUAACUUCGGGAAACCGGAGCUAAUACCGGAUAAUAUAUUGAACCGCAUGGUUCAAUAGUGAAAGACGGUUUUGCUGUCACUUAUAGAUGGAUCCGCGCCGCAUUAGCUAGUUGGUAAGGUAACAGCUUACCAAGGCGACGAUGCGUAGCCGACCUGAGAGGGUGAUGGGCCACUGGAACUGAGACACGGUCCAGACUCCUACGGGAGGCAGCAGUAGGGAAUCUUCCGCAAUGGGCGAAAGCCUGACGGAGCAACGCCGCGUGAGUGAUGAAGGUCUUCGGAUCGUAAAACUCUGUUAUUAGGGAAGAACAAAUGUGUAAGUAACUAUGCACGUCUUGACGGUACCUAAUCAGAAAGCCACGGCUAACUACGUG
This 495-nucleotide ribosomal RNA is filed under the name uncultured bacterium. RNAcentral's name for it is "partial 16S ribosomal RNA". It matches the Rfam family "Bacterial small subunit ribosomal RNA", at positions 28 to 507 of the family's 1533-position model. The record is from RNAcentral.